RNAcentral lists this ribosomal RNA (253 nucleotides) under uncultured bacterium. Its description in RNAcentral is "partial 16S ribosomal RNA". It matches the Rfam family "Bacterial small subunit ribosomal RNA", at positions 524 to 776 of the family's 1533-position model. The record is from RNAcentral.
UACGGAGGAUGCAAGCGUUGUUCGGAUUCACUGGGCGUAAAGGGUGCGCAGGUGGGUUUGCAAGUUCGAUGUGAAAGCCCCGGGCUUAACCCGGGAAUGGCAUUGGAUACUGCAGAUCUGGAGGAUCGGAGGGGGGACUGGAAUUCUUGGUGUAGCAGUGAAAUGCGUAGAUAUCAAGAGGAACACCAGUGGCGAAGGCGAGUCCCUGGACGAUACCUGACACUGAGGCACGAAAGCUAGGGGAGCAAACAGG